Molecule: ribosomal RNA, 496 nt
Filed under: uncultured bacterium
Lineage: Bacteria
Description: partial 16S ribosomal RNA
Rfam family: Bacterial small subunit ribosomal RNA
Source: RNAcentral
GAUGGACGCUGGCGGCGUGCCUAAUACAUGCAAGUCGAGCGAACAGACGAGGAGCUUGCUCCUCUGACGUUAGCGGCGGACGGGUGAGUAACACGUGGAUAACCUACCUAUAAGACUGGGAUAACUUCGGGAAACCGGAGCUAAUACCGGAUAAUAUAUUGAACCGCAUGGUUCAAUAGUGAAAGACGGUUUUGCUGUCACUUAUAGAUGGAUCCGCGCCGCAUUAGCUAGUUGGUAAGGUAACGGCUUACCAAGGCAACGAUGCGUAGCCGACCUGAGAGGGUGAUCGGCCACACUGGAACUGAGACACGGUCCAGACUCCUACGGGAGGCAGCAGUAGGGAAUCUUCCGCAAUGGGCGAAAGCCUGACGGAGCAACGCCGCGUGAGUGAUGAAGGUCUUCGGAUCGUAAAACUCUGUUAUUAGGGAAGAACAAAUGUGUAAGUAACUAUGCACGUCUUGACGGUACCUAAUCAGAAAGCCACGGCUAACUACGU